UACGUAGGAGGCAAGCGUUGUCCGGAAUCACUGGGCGUAAAGCGCGUGUAGGCGGAUCGCUAAGUCUGUGGUGAAAGCGCCUGGCUUAACCGGGCGAGGUCCAUGGAAACUAGCGGUCUGGAGGCCGGUAGAGGGGGGUGGAAUUCCGGGUGUAGCGGUGAAAUGCGUAGAUAUCUGGAGGAAUACCGGUGGCGAAGGCGGCAUCCUGGACCAUUUACUGACGCUGAGGCGCGAAAGCUAGGGGAGCAAACGGG
Molecule: ribosomal RNA, 254 nt
Filed under: uncultured bacterium
Lineage: Bacteria
Description: partial 16S ribosomal RNA
Rfam family: Bacterial small subunit ribosomal RNA
Source: RNAcentral